Molecule: long non-coding RNA, 493 nt
Organism: Prionailurus viverrinus (fishing cat)
Lineage: Eukaryota; Metazoa; Chordata; Mammalia; Carnivora; Felidae
Exons: 4
Source: RefSeq, a predicted model, not a curated record
GCAAGCAUGUCUAACUACCCUGAGAUUCCUUGCUGGAGGAGUGCUCCCAUUAACCUCCCAGCUAUUUCAGCCAUCACAGAUGAAGCACCGGGCAUAGCUCUUCACACAAGACUUUUUAAAGAAGCCUGCCAUACUCUCCUAACAUAGGGCAUAGUUUGCAUGGCCAUAACGCACUUCUAAAGAUAGUAAAAACUUUGGAAGUCCAACAGAAGAAUUGCUUUGGUGCCACAGUAAGAGACAAAAUGUUAAGAUAUUAAGCUACCAUCGAUGUUUUCUGAUACACAGAAGAAAAAGCAGCAUAGAAACGCAGGCUCUUCUGUCAACCACCAGAUCUGCAACGCCCGUCAUGGGAAGCCGUGCUGUCACAAGAGUAGACUUCUAGGUGUUCCCUAACUCAGUCUCUCGUGUCUUGAGAAGUGGCGUUUACACCUCGGCACCAAAGGCAAAAUGGAUGCUUAUUGAAGGCGUUUUUGUUUUGUUUUGUUUUUUACCU